This 301-nucleotide ribosomal RNA is filed under the name uncultured bacterium. Its description in RNAcentral is "partial 16S ribosomal RNA". It matches the Rfam family "Bacterial small subunit ribosomal RNA", at positions 509 to 807 of the family's 1533-position model. The record is from RNAcentral.
CAGCAGCCACGGGAAUACGUAGGUGGCAAGCGUUGUCCGGAAUUAUUGGGCGUAAAGGGCUCGCAGGCGGUUUCUUAAGUCUGAUGUGAAAGCCCCCGGCUCAACCGGGGAGGGUCAUUGGAAACUGGGAAACUUGAGUGCAGAAGAGGAGAGUGGAAUACCACGUGUAGCGGUGAAAUGCGUAGAGAUGUGGAGGAACACCAGUGGCGAAGGCGACUCUCUGGUCUGUAACUGACGCUGAGGAGCGAAAGCGUGGGGAGCGAACAGGAUUAGAUACCCCGGUAGUCCCUGUCUCUUAUAC